UACGAAGGGUGCGAGCGUUAAUCGGAAUUACUGGGCGUAAAGCGUGCGCAGGCGGCUUUGCAAGACAGAUGUGAAAUCCCCGGGCUCAACCUGGGAACUGCAUUUGUGACUGCAAGGCUAGAGUACGGCAGAGGGGGAUGGAAUUCCGCGUGUAGCAGUGAAAUGCGUAGAUAUGCGGAGGAACACCAAUGGCGAAGGCAAUCCCCUGGGCCUGUACUGACGCUCAUGCACGAAAGCGUGGGGAGCAAACAGG
Molecule: ribosomal RNA, 253 nt
Filed under: uncultured bacterium
Lineage: Bacteria
Description: partial 16S ribosomal RNA
Rfam family: Bacterial small subunit ribosomal RNA
Source: RNAcentral